Molecule: long non-coding RNA, 716 nt
Organism: Aphis gossypii (cotton aphid)
Lineage: Eukaryota; Metazoa; Arthropoda; Insecta; Hemiptera; Aphididae
Exons: 4
Source: RefSeq, a predicted model, not a curated record
UGGCUGGCUAGUAGUCGGUUUAUUUUGUAAAUAAAAUCCUAUUAAUGUUUAAUAUUUAUAUAAUUUAUCACAUUUACAAUAAGUAUAAUAACUUCAAAUUUAUCGUGGUCUAAAAAAUAUGCAUACAAGUAUUACAACAGCUGAUUUAAAUGAGUGAAAGACGAAUACUUCAAUGUGAACUACGACAGUCGAUAAUGCGUUUUGCGUGUUAUUAUGGAGGUUUGUUUUUUGAAGGAAGAGUUUGAAAGAUGUAGAUUUAAGCUCGUCUGCAACUACGUGUAUUUAAUCAACAUAGCGUUUUAUAAACGCCACGACAAUAUUACAGCAACAGAUGUGCGAUAAAACUGAAUGUAUAGGUCUCGAUCUACGUGUUUAUGUGCGUUCGAGUGGUUUUUCGUACAUAAUAUUUUUUUAGAAACGAGUUGGAGGAUCACCGACGUAUAAUGGCCUUGAAAUAUUUAGACAUUGGAUUAAAAAGAUUGCAGCUACAAAUGUUUCAUAUACCAUUAUAUUAAUCGGAAAUAUAACAAAUAUAACGAAACGAUGUAGUAAGCGUGUACAUUUUAAGUAGUUUUUAGAAAAUUGGCAAAAAUGAUUGAAAACAACAUUUUUUAUGGAACACUUUUAAAGUAUAUGACAAAAUCAAAUGCAACAUUGUUGAACUGAAUUUAGAGGUACCUGCUUUUAUUUCAAGAACAAAUUUUCAGGACUCUAAU